GCGGCGUGCCUAAUACAUGCAAGUCGAACGCACUCUCGUUUAGAUUGAAGGAGCUUGCUCCUGAUUGAUAAACAUUUGAGUGAGUGGCGGACGGGUGAGUAACACGUGGGUAACCUGCCCUAAAGUGGGGGAUAACAUUUGGAAACAGAUGCUAAUACCGCAUAAAACCUAACACCGCAUGGUGUAGGGUUGAAAGAUGGUUUCGGCUAUCACUUUAGGAUGGACCCGCGGUGCAUUAGUUAGUUGGUGAGGUAAAGGCUCACCAAGACCGUGAUGCAUAGCCGACCUGAGAGGGUAAUCGGCCACACUGGGACUGAGACACGGCCCAGACUCCUACGGGAGGCAGCAGUAGGGAAUCUUCCACAAUGGACGAAAGUCUGAUGGAGCAACGCCGCGUGAGUGAAGAAGGUUUUCGGAUCGUAAAACUCUGUUGUUGGAGAAGAAUGUAUCUGAUAGUAACUGAUCAGGUAGUGACGGUAUCCAACCAGAAAGCCACGGCUAACUACGUGCCAGCAGCCGCGGUAAUACGUAGGUGGCAAGCGUUGUCCGGAUUUAUUGGGCGUAAAGCGAGCGCAGGCGGUUUCUUAAGUCUGAUGUGAAAGCCUUCGGCUCAACCGAAGAAGUGCAUCGGAAACUGGGAAACUUGAGUGCAGAAGAGGACAGUGGAACUCCAUGUGUAGCGGUGAAAUGCAUAGAUAUAUGGAAGAACACCAGUGGCGAAGGCGGCUGUCUGGUCUGUAACUGACGCUGAGGCUCGAAAGCAUGGGUAGCAAACAGGAUUAGAUACCCUGGUAGUCCAUGCCGUAAACGAUGAGUGCUAGGUGUCGGAGGGUUUCCGCCCUUCAGUGCCGCAGCUAACGCAUUAAGCACUCCGCCUGGGGAGUACGACCGCAAGGUUGAAACUCAAAGGAAUUGACGGGGGCCCGCACAAGCGGUGGAGCAUGUGGUUUAAUUCGAAGCAACGCGAAGAACCUUACCAGGUCUUGACAUCCUUUGACCACUCUAGAGAUAGAGCUUUCCCUUCGGGGACAAAGUGACAGGUGGUGCAUGGUUGUCGUCAGCUCGUGUCGUGAGAUGUUGGGUUAAGUCCCGCAACGAGCGCAACCCUUAUUACUAGUUGCCAGCAUUUAGUUGGGCACUCUAGUGAGACUGCCGGUGACAAACCGGAGGAAGGUGGGGACGACGUCAAAUCAUCAUGCCCCUUAUGACCUGGGCUACACACGUGCUACAAUGGAUGGUACAACGAGUUGCGAGACCGCGAGGUUUAGCUAAUCUCUUAAAACCAUUCUCAGUUCGGAUUGUAGGCUGCAACUCGCCUACAUGAAGCCGGAAUCGCUAGUAAUCGCGGAUCAGCAUGCCGCGGUGAAUACGUUCCCGGGUC
RNAcentral lists this ribosomal RNA (1381 nucleotides) under Latilactobacillus sakei. RNAcentral's name for it is "Lactobacillus sakei partial 16S ribosomal RNA". It matches the Rfam family "Bacterial small subunit ribosomal RNA", at positions 39 to 1380 of the family's 1533-position model. The record is from RNAcentral. Lineage: Bacteria; Bacillati; Bacillota; Bacilli; Lactobacillales; Lactobacillaceae.